UUCCAGGGCUCGAAGCUGGCCAUCUGGGAGUUUGGUGUGGGUUCCCUCAUCCACUUGAUCACCUCCUGGUUGUUCACCACCCACACAUCAGGCAUCUUCACCAACUCGUCCAGGAAUCGCUGUGCAUCCAUUGUACAUCUUAUCUAGAGCAUACCAGUAUCUGAAUGUUCCCUCCUUCAUAAGAAACAAGAUCCGGUUCAAUCCCUUAAAAAAACUGAUUUGCCUGUAUCCCUCCACACACUACUAUAUCUGUGUAAGAAAAAGAGAGGCAGAGACCAACCAACCUUCUCGCCUACUGACCUUCAUUGCCUUCAUGUUGUGCUUGGUCUUGAACCAGAUGGUGUGGAAGUAGAGGCCAAGCGGUGCCCUGUUGGUGUUGUAGUGUCGGCGGAAGUUAUGCAUCAACAUUUCAUACACAUCCUCCUCGUCCGUCGACGGUGGGCACUGAUCCAUCAUAGCGCAGUAGUACUCCUGCAAGUCCAACAACAUCCUUUUACAAUUUCAUGGGAAAACACGGUAUCGUUAUGCAGUGUAGUGUACAACAACAUACAUACAUACAUACCCUCUGGUCUGCCAAAACCUACCCCUGCCUGAAGUUGAUUGAGCACCAUCUCCCAUAUGCCCGGAAAGGAUCUAGAGGGACAGCGCUGGCUUGUGCCCAUACACUUGUGGGGCAUCUUGUAGUCGAGGGUGUAGGGCCAGAGUGGAGGGUUGGAGAAAGGCGCAGCCAUCGAAGAGUCAUAGAUGAAGCCAAACUCCCGCAUCAUGAUGAACUGUCUGUUCCAUCCCACACGCAAGAAGGGCACACGAACACCUGAGGAGCAAUCCCAUGAAGACAAUCUCUAGCGUAUAUCACCCUGAAGUGUACACCAUUUCCAGUGGCUUUACCGACAACUCACCCCAGAGGUCCUCCAUGCGAACGCCCCCGAAGCGGUUGAUAAUGUUGGCUUGGCCCACAAACUCGUCAAACCAGUCCUCGAUGGUGGCGUUGUUCGUCCAGAAGUUCUCUGGGCCCUUGUGUCUGUAUAGUGAUCAUCCAAGAUAGGAGGAACUAUAUUAAUGUUCAACCAAAAUCUCUCUACCCUGUAUAUUGUUUGCAUUACUCUGUACUCAUUUGUAUGCUCUGCCCAAAAGUCAGCCCCAAAUCGGCCAGACCAACAUACGUGAUUGAGUGGACAGCAAUCUCGUGACCAUCGUUCCAGAGCUUCUGAGUAUACUGGUAGUUGUUGUACUCGUGAGAGACAUAGAAGGUGGCGUGGAUGGGACAUCCAUUGGGAUUGGUUCUCUCUCCAUUGAAUAGCUGUGCAUAUAGGUCCCAGUUCUCGUAGUUGAUGGCGUCAUCAAACGUCAGUGUCACCAUCUGGGGAACCUGCAGAAUGAGGGCGGGCAUGGUUAUAUAUGAAGUCCCAGAGUGGCCAUUAGAAUGCGCGCGCAUAAUUUAAAGUGUCAGGAAUUCGUAAUUACCUGAAUAGUUACAGAAUGAGCUACGCUCGUAGUGUCCCAUCUUUUCGAUAAUCUUUAGUUAUGCGACUCAAACUACUGAUGGUUUUUGAUAUCCACUACCUUCUCGAUUAACGUGUUCCAUCCUUCUACAGCUCUUCGUAAGACGAGAACUUAUGUUGUUUUUUUGCAUUUUUGUGUCAUCUUGAAUACAUGUCCUCCUGGGUUUAAAGUUGCAGGUUUAAAAAAUUCCUUAUUUAUGUCUUCCUGAUACUAUUUUGUACGUAGUGAUUAUAUCGCCUCUUUUUCCCUCUAUCUUUGGCAUAUUUAACACCUUGCCUCUCCUUGUAGUAUAUAUGGAAGUUGUGUUUUGCCUUAUAUGGAAGUGUGUGUGUGUUUCCUUAUAUUCCUUUGUACCUCGCCCUGGCCUGGUGACGCUCUAUUACUCUCUCAUCUAUCCUUAUCUCAGUUAUGGUAUUUGUGCUUGGGGUUCUACUACCCAAAAUCAUUUACGUCCUCUAAUUACUCAACACAAAGCUGCUAUCAGAACAAUAUCUAACUCUGGCCCCAGACAUCACUCUCUCAACCAGUUCAAGAUGGAAACUAAAAACUACCUAAUAAACUCCAUGUAACCUAUGCAGGCGAUGAGUCACAAUAACGUGGCUAAAGUAUGUUGACCAGACCACACACUAGAAAGUGAAGGGGCGACGACGUUUCAGUCCGUCCUGGAC
Procambarus clarkii (red swamp crayfish) is the source of this 2171-nucleotide non-coding RNA. Lineage: Eukaryota; Metazoa; Arthropoda; Malacostraca; Decapoda; Cambaridae. The record is from RefSeq and is a predicted model, not a curated record.